This 422-nucleotide long non-coding RNA is filed under the name Anas platyrhynchos platyrhynchos (common mallard). Its description in RNAcentral is "lncRNA (ENSAPLG00000025906.1)". The record is from RNAcentral. Lineage: Eukaryota; Metazoa; Chordata; Aves; Anseriformes; Anatidae.
UGUGCAGGCACUUUUACAUAGCUGGCAGCUGCUGAUUUGUGGAUACCCCAGGGACAGCAGUAACAAGGAAGAGUGAAAAAAGCAGGAAAAAAAUGUGGAAAAGAGUCCUGGACAAUUAUCCACAACCUGCCUGGUGAGGCUCGGCAGCAGCUCCAGUGUCAAGGGCAGCUGAGAAUGGAUGUGACCUGGCGUGGUUAUUACAGCUGGAAUUCAUUUUGCCUAACCUUAGACAUUUUCUGCCCUCAAAGUACAGCCUGUGUCUGAAUCAAUCACCCUCAGACCUCUUUCCAGUACAUAAGCCACUUUAUGGAGAGCAUUGUGGAUCCUUUUCAUGGCUACCGGAGACAAGAGAGCAAAGUUCAAGGUUACAUUGCAUCAGAGGAGGAGCCCACAAGGAAGGAAGGACCAGUGAAGGAUGGGGG